GUUUAGACCGUCGUGAGACAGGUUAGUUUUACCCUCCUACUUGACACCUAGGGGGGCCUCCAUGGCCCGGCAUUGACCUUAAUAGUAGAUCAUCUCAGUACGAGAGGAACCGGUGAUUCAGGCCUCUGGUGUAAAGGCUGCUCGAAAGGGCAGAGCCUUAGCGCUACGCCUGUUGGAUGAAGGCUGGAAGCAUCUAAGCCCGAAGCCAUGCUAGACAAGGUCUUUGCCAUUCGCACUCGCCUCAUGGGGCGGGUGCACCAGAUAUUGCCCCAUCAACGACCGUGCGAGCCACAAAGGAAAGCUCUUUGGUGCACCGUAACCUUAGCCUUCGGGUUAGGAUGAGACAACGCAUCUGCCUCUCUUAAAGGGGUAACAGGGCUUUGUGGUUCAGGUCGGGCGCCAUGUCGCGUGAUAGACGAUCACUCGCAGCGUAGAACCUGUAAGUGGUUGAGCUGGUCGUCAUGGCAUUGCGAGGUACUGAUGGUG
This 486-nucleotide ribosomal RNA is filed under the name Aplanochytrium sp. PBS07. RNAcentral describes it as "partial Eukaryotic large subunit ribosomal RNA". It matches the Rfam family "Eukaryotic large subunit ribosomal RNA", at positions 2961 to 3379 of the family's 3401-position model. The record is from RNAcentral. Lineage: Eukaryota; Bigyra; Thraustochytrida; Thraustochytriidae.